RNAcentral lists this ribosomal RNA (496 nucleotides) under uncultured bacterium. RNAcentral describes it as "partial 16S ribosomal RNA". It matches the Rfam family "Bacterial small subunit ribosomal RNA", at positions 28 to 506 of the family's 1533-position model. The record is from RNAcentral.
GAUGAACGCUGGCGGCGUGCCUAAUACAUGCAAGUCGAGCGAACGGACGAGAAGCUUGCUUCUCUGAUGUUAGCGGCGGACGGGUGAGUAACACGUGGAUAACCUACCUAUAAGACUGGGAUAACUUCGGGAAACCGGAGCUAAUACCGGAUAAUAUUUUGAACCGCAUGGUUCAAAAGUGAAAGUCGGUCUUGCUGUCACUUAUAGAUUGAUCCGCGCUGCAUUAGCUAGUUGGUAAGGAAACGGCUUACCAAGGCAACGAUGCAUAGCCGACCUGAGCGGGUGAUCGGCCACACGGGAACUGAGACACGGUCCAGACUCCUACGGGAGGCAGCAGUAGGGAAUCUUCCGCAAUGGGCGAAAGCCUGACUGAGCAACGCCGCGUGAGUGAUGAAGGUCUUCGGAUCGUAAAACUCUGUUAUUAGGGAAGAACAUAUGUGUAAGUAACUGUGCACAUCUUGACGGUACCUAAUCAGAAAGCCACGGCUAACUACGU